UUACACAUUGCAAGUCGAACGGGAUCCAUCAGGCUUUGCUUGGUGGUGAGAGUGGCGAACGGGUGAGUAAUGCGUGACCGACCUGCCCCAUACACCGGAAUAGCUCCUGGAAACGGGUGGUAAUGCCGGAUGCUCCGACUCCUCGCAUGGGGUGUCGGGAAAGAUUUCAUCGGUAUGGGAUGGGGUCGCGUCCUAUCAGGUAGUCGGCGGGGUAACGGCCCACCGAGCCUACGACGGGUAGCCGGCCUGAGAGGGCGACCGGCCACAUUGGGACUGAGAUACGGCCCAGACUCCUACGGGAGGCAGCAGUGGGGAAUAUUGCACAAUGGGCGCAAGCCUGAUGCAGCGACGCCGCGUGCGGGAUGACGGCCUUCGGGUUGUAAACCGCUUUUGAUCGGGAGCAAGCCUUCGGGUGAGUGUACCUUUCGAAUAAGCACCGGCUAACUACGUGCCAGCAGCCGCGGUAAUACGUAGGGUGCAAGCGUUAUCCGGAAUUAUUGGGCGUAAAGGGCUCGUAGGCGGUUCGUCGCGUCCGGUGUGAAAGUCCAUCGCUUAACGGUGGAUCUGCGCCGGGUACGGGCGGGCUGGAGUGCGGUAGGGGAGACUGGAAUUCCCGGUGUAACGGUGGAAUGUGUAGAUAUCGGGAAGAACACCAAUGGCGAAGGCAGGUCUCUGGGCCGUUACUGACGCUGAGGAGCGAAAGCGUGGGGAGCGAACAGGAUUAGAUACCCUGGUAGUCCACGCCGUAAACGGUGGAUGCUGGAUGUGGGGCCCGUUCCACGGGUUCCGUGUCGGAGCUAACGCGUUAAGCAUCCCGCCUGGGGAGUACGGCCGCAAGGCUAAAACUCAAAGAAAUUGACGGGGGCCCGCAAGCGGCGGAGCAUGCGGAUUAAUUCGAUGCAACGCGAAGAACCUUACCUGGGCUUGACAUGUUCCCGACAGCCGUAGAGAU
This 952-nucleotide ribosomal RNA is filed under the name Bifidobacterium pseudocatenulatum. RNAcentral describes it as "bacterial SSU rRNA". It matches the Rfam family "Bacterial small subunit ribosomal RNA", at positions 49 to 1007 of the family's 1533-position model. Lineage: Bacteria; Bacillati; Actinomycetota; Actinomycetes; Bifidobacteriales; Bifidobacteriaceae. The record is from RNAcentral.